AUGGGUGCGCCUCGAUGGUGGGACAGGCGGCCCCAGAGGGACAGAGAAUUCCCCAGGCAUUCCCGUGAAUGCAGCCGUCCUCCACCAAGGAAGCUCCGGGCCAGAGCCCAGAGGAAGGGGUCUCUGUGUUUCGCCCUGUCCCUCUGUGUUGGUGUGGGGAGAGCAGGCAGCUGCCAUGCAGCCAUGCCGUGCCCCUGCCCACCCUGGGGCACCCUGCUUGGUGCAGCAAUGCUCCCCUUUAAUUGUUCACCGUGCUCCCACGAGGGAGGAGACGGGACCUGGGCACCUUCCCUGCCACCCGUAGAGUGGCUGCGGUCGCCCAGGGGCUUGGGCACGGCGUGUGGUGGGGUCUGCACCGAGGGCGCUGCCACCCCCUGCUCUGGGAAAUGCGGUGUGCUGGUUGGGGCGCAGGGCUGCUGCCUCCGAGCCCUCUGCCAGGAUCCUGCCCGGGAUGUGCCUUGGCACAGGGCUGACUGCCAGAGCCUCAGGAGCCCCCUGAACCAUCGGGGCUGUCCUCAGCCUCUGUCGAGGAAGCUCCUGGCAGAGCGGGGGCAAGGACGGCAGCAUCCCGAAUGUGGUGCGUGGGCGGUGGGAGCCAAAGUAUUUCUAUCUCCCGGAAAACGAUGCCGACUGCGUGGGCUGGAGCCAGCGCAGCUGCUGGCCCUGCCGCCCAGCCCGACAGCAGCACGCUCAGCCCCUCUCCAGCUGCUGCUGCUGGCUGCAGGCAGAUCCAGCCGGAGCGGGCGCUCCGCAGAGUCCCGCGGGGGUCAAGGUAUCGCCUCCAGGCAGCCCUGCAGGCACCUCGCCCUGCUCCCCACGGCUCCCUCCGCGGUUUCUUCCUUGUCCCCUGCCACAAGCGCAUUUCUGGGCUUCCGCCUGCUCCUGUCCUCCACGGUGGUGGCUGCUGUGCUGCAGCUUGUCUGCUGGCAUCUGCACGUUCGCAGCCCUCCAGCUCCAUCUCGCUCACCACCAGUACCCGGGAAAUCCUGCGCUCCGCAGACUUUACGAGCCAAAGGGAACGAUAAGAGCAAUUAUAGGAUCAGCCAACUGAACAGAGUGAUAAACCUCAAAGGCAGGCGCUGCUGGCAGCUCCAGCACAGGUGCAGCAGCGUGGAUAGCGGUGGGGCCCUGGAGCUGCUGGGUGGGCAGCACCGGACCUGCAGCAGCGCCCUGCCCCUGCCCGGCCCCGCUGUGCCCAGCCCCAGGAGGGCCAGCUUUGGGUCUGCCGGGCUUUGUCCCUGUGCAGCGCAGGGCAGGGACGCGCUGCUCCCUCUGCUCGGUGUCGGGGGCAAUGCUCACAUCCCUGAGCUACCCCCUCCCUGUCCUGCCCCGGCCUCCGGAGCACUGUGCCCCUGGUGCAGGAGCCAGCGGCUGCAACAAGGCCGCCUCUAUCCGGGGAGCUCUUUGUUUCCCCCCUGCAGUCUGCCCGGGGCCGGGAGCACCGGCUCAGAGCCGUUCCCCGCAGAGCAUCCUCCGGCCACACUGCCCAGCUGCAGCCACCCGCCCUGCCCAAACCCCGGCACCGAACCCCCCUUCAGUGGCCAGAGCCCUGCUCAGAAGCCACCCUCAGAGCUCAGACCACCCCGGGGGCCUGGGCCCUGCCUGCCCGCUCCCCAGCUCAUGGCACUGCACGGUGAGAGCCUGGAGGGUGCAGGCUGGUGGACACAGGCUGAUGGCCAUGCCCCUGUCCCUGCUGUGCCCCAGGGCUGCCCCCGCUGCAAGGCAGCGAGCGUCCCGCAGGCAGCGUGGCACUGGUGUCAGCACCGGCUCCUGUUACUGCAUAAACACCCACGCUGGGGAGGGGACCGCAGGCAAACGCAAACAGUUACUGAUUUACUGUAG
Molecule: long non-coding RNA, 1842 nt
Filed under: Cairina moschata (Muscovy duck)
Lineage: Eukaryota; Metazoa; Chordata; Aves; Anseriformes; Anatidae
Description: domestica (muscovy Duck (domestic type)) lncRNA (ENSCMMG00000004003.1)
Source: RNAcentral